RNAcentral lists this ribosomal RNA (497 nucleotides) under uncultured bacterium. Its description in RNAcentral is "partial 16S ribosomal RNA". It matches the Rfam family "Bacterial small subunit ribosomal RNA", at positions 28 to 507 of the family's 1533-position model. The record is from RNAcentral.
GAUGAACGCUGGCGGCGUGCCUAAUACAUGCAAGUCGAGCGAACAGACGAGGAGCUUGCUCCUCUGACGUUAGCGGCGGACGGGUGAGUAACACGUGGAUAACCUACCUAUAAGACUGGGAUAACUUCGGGAAACCGGAGCUAAUACCGGAUAAUAUAUUGAACCGCAUGGUUCAAUAGUUAAAGACGGUUUUGCUGUCACUUAUAGAUGGAUCCGCGCCGCAUUAGCUAGUUGGUAAGGUAACGGCUUACCAAGGCAACGAUGCGUAGCCGACCUGAGAGGGUGAUCCGCCACACUGGAACUGAGACACGGUCCAGACUCCUACGGGAGGCAGCAGUAGGGAAUCUUCCGCAAUGGGCGAAAGCCUGACGGAGCAACGCCGCGUGAGUGAUGAAGGUCUUCGGAUCGUAAAACUCUGUUAUUAGGGAAGAACAAAUGUGUAAGUAACUAUGCACGUCUUGACGGUACCUAAUCAGAAAGCCACGGCUAACUACGUG